This 448-nucleotide ribosomal RNA is filed under the name uncultured bacterium. Its description in RNAcentral is "bacterial SSU rRNA". It matches the Rfam family "Bacterial small subunit ribosomal RNA", at positions 30 to 517 of the family's 1533-position model. The record is from RNAcentral.
AUUGAACGCUGGCGGCAUGCCUAACACAUGCAAGUCGAACGAAGCCUUCGGGCUUAGUGGCGCACGGGUGCGUAACGCGUGGGAAUCUGCCCUUGGGUUCGGAAUAACAGUUAGAAAUGACUGCUAAUACCGAAUGAUGUCUUCGGACCAAAGAUUUAUCGCCCAAGGAUGAGCCCGCGUCGGAUUAGCUAGUUGGUGAGGUAAAGGCUCACCAAGGCGACGAUCCGUAGCUGGUCUGAGAGGAUGAUCAGCCACACUGGGACUGAGACACGGCCCAUACUCCUACGGGAGGCAGCAGUGGGGAAUUUUACGCAAUGGGGGAAACCCUGACGUAGCGACACCGCGUGAAUGAAGAAGCCCUUUGGGGUGUAAAAUUCUGUCGGCUGGGAAGAAAAAAAUAGACGGUACCAGCAAAGGAAGCAUCGGCUAACUAACGUGCCAGCAGCCG